This 110-nucleotide non-coding RNA is filed under the name Candidatus Metalachnospira gallinarum. Its description in RNAcentral is "FMN riboswitch (RFN element)". It matches the Rfam family "FMN riboswitch aptamer (RFN element)". From Rfam's summary of the family: The RFN element is a highly conserved domain that is found frequently in the 5'-untranslated regions of prokaryotic mRNAs that encode for flavin mononucleotide (FMN) biosynthesis and transport proteins. This element is a metabolite-dependent riboswitch that directly binds FMN in the absence of proteins. RNAcentral also lists the same sequence under 1 other name. The record is from RNAcentral. Lineage: Bacteria; Bacillati; Bacillota; Clostridia.
GUCUUCAGGGCAGGGUGAAAUUCCCGAUCGGCGGUAUAGUCCGCGAGCGCGAGAGCGCAUGAUUUGGUGCGAUUCCAAAACCGACAGUACAGUCUGGAUGAAAGAAGACG